RNAcentral lists this ribosomal RNA (497 nucleotides) under uncultured bacterium. RNAcentral describes it as "partial 16S ribosomal RNA". It matches the Rfam family "Bacterial small subunit ribosomal RNA", at positions 28 to 507 of the family's 1533-position model. The record is from RNAcentral.
GAUGAACGCUGGCGGCGUGCCUAAUACAUGCAAGUCGAGCGAACAGACGAGGAGCUUGCUCCUCUGACGUUAGCGGCGGACGGGUGAGUAACACGUGGAUAACCUACCUAUAAGACUGGGAUAACUUCGGGAAACCGGAGCUAAUACCGGAUAAUAUAUUGAACCGCAUGGUUCAAUAGUUAAAUACGGUUUUGCUGUCACUUAUAGAUGGAUCCGCGCCGCAUUAGCUAGUUGGUAAGGUAACGGCUUACCAAGGCUACGAUGCGUAGCCGACCUGAGAGGGUGAUCGGCCACACUGGAACUGAGACACGGUCCAGACUCCUACGGGAGGCAGCAGCAGGGAAUCUUCCGCAAUGGGCGAAAGCCUGACGGAGCAACGCCGCGUGAGUGAUGAAGGUCUUCGGAUCGUAAAACUCUGUUAUUAGGGAAGAACAAAUGUGUAAGUAACUAUGCACGUCUUGACGGUACCUAAUCAGAAAGCCACGGCUAACUACGUG